This 1382-nucleotide ribosomal RNA is filed under the name uncultured bacterium. Its description in RNAcentral is "bacterial SSU rRNA". It matches the Rfam family "Bacterial small subunit ribosomal RNA", at positions 18 to 1395 of the family's 1533-position model. The record is from RNAcentral.
CCUGGCUCACGAUGAACGCUAGCUACAGGCUUAACACAUGCAAGUCGAGGGGCAGCAUGGUCUUAGCUUGCUAAGACUGAUGGCGACCGGCGCACGGGUGAGUAACACGUAUCCAACCUGCCGUCUACUCUUGGACAGCCUUCUGAAAGGAAGAUUAAUACAAGAUGGCAUCAUGAGUCCGCAUGUUCACAUGAUUAAAGGUAUUCCGGUAGACGAUGGGGAUGCGUUCCAUUAGAUAGUAGGCGGGGUAACGGCCCACCUAGUCUUCGAUGGAUAGGGGUUCUGAGAGGAAGGUCCCCCACAUUGGAACUGAGACACGGUCCAAACUCCUACGGGAGGCAGCAGUGAGGAAUAUUGGUCAAUGGGCGAGAGCCUGAACCAGCCAAGUAGCGUGAAGGAUGACUGCCCUAUGGGUUGUAAACUUCUUUUAUAAAGGAAUAAAGUCGGGUAUGGAUACCCGUUUGCAUGUACUUUAUGAAUAAGGAUCGGCUAACUCCGUGCCAGCAGCCGCGGUAAUACGGAGGAUCCGAGCGUUAUCCGGAUUUAUUGGGUUUAAAGGGAGCGUAGAUGGAUGUUUAAGUCAGUUGUGAAAGUUUGCGGCUCAACCGUAAAAUUGCAGUUGAUACUGGAUAUCUUGAGUGCAGUUGAGGCAGGCGGAAUUCGUGGUGUAGCGGUGAAAUGCUUAGAUAUCACGAAGAACUCCGAUUGCGAAGGCAGCCUGCUAAGCUGCAACUGACAUUGAGGCUCGAAAGUGUGGGUAUCAAACAGGAUUAGAUACCCUGGUAGUCCACACGGUAAACGAUGAAUACUCGCUGUUUGCGAUAUACUGCAAGCGGCCAAGCGAAAGCGUUAAGUAUUCCACCUGGGGAGUACGCCGGCAACGGUGAAACUCAAAGGAAUUGACGGGGGCCCGCACAAGCGGAGGAACAUGUGGUUUAAUUCGAUGAUACGCGAGGAACCUUACCCGGGCUUAAAUUGCAGAUGAAUUACGGUGAAAGCCGUAAGCCGCAAGGCAUCUGUGAAGGUGCUGCAUGGUUGUCGUCAGCUCGUGCCGUGAGGUGUCGGCUUAAGUGCCAUAACGAGCGCAACCCUUGUUGUCAGUUACUAACAGGUUCCGCUGAGGACUCUGACAAGACUGCCAUCGUAAGAUGUGAGGAAGGUGGGGAUGACGUCAAAUCAGCACGGCCCUUACGUCCGGGGCUACACACGUGUUACAAUGGGGGGUACAGAGGGCCGCUACCACGCGAGUGGAUGCCAAUCCCCAAAACCUCUCUCAGUUCGGACUGGAGUCUGCAACCCGACUCCACGAAGCUGGAUUCGCUAGUAAUCGCGCAUCAGCCACGGCGCGGUGAAUACGUUCCCGGGCCUUGUACACACCGCCC